UUGUCUUCCUUCAGAUUUCCUAAUCCACAAGUUCUUCUAAAGUCUUACAGGCCUUGCUUCUAACAGCAGAAGACAUAUACAGUCCUGAUGGUCUUGCCCUCGAAGACCAUGGAGGAUGCUGAGGAGUGAGUCCUCUAGAGAACUUCAGUUCCAUCCAGGUACAAUAGUUGUACAUCUUCUGAUUCUGGAAGCUGUGCUGGAAAUGUUGUUAAUAUGGGAACUUUGGGUGCGGGAAGGAACAAGUCAGAAGGAGAAAUAAUGAAUGAGUUCUGGGUACGAGCCUCUGAGGCAAGGGACUGCCAUCUGUACGGAGCUCUGUGACUUACCUGGAAGCCUGACUUCACCUCUACUACCUCAGCUGAACUUUGUGACGAUUCCAAAACCCUGACUGCCAGUUUUGCUGCCAGCUUGAGUGCCGUGGCAGAAACUGCUCUGACUGUGCCCGGAUUCCUGAUCCGUAGAUAUUAAGAUAACGAAGGUCCGUCAUCUUUUAGGCUUGGUGAACCAGUGAUUUCGUGGGUGACUUACAGGAACAUGAAUGCCUCAAGGGCAGUUAUGUCAAUAAAAAGUCCAAUCCAGCAUUGGUGAUUACACCUGAAAGCUGAGUACCCGGUACUCCCUGUUCAGCUUGCGAGGCUGCUUAUGUGAGCUCAGGAGGAAAGGCUAGCCUGCCUUGUGAUCUUUAAGAUGUAAACAGAUUAGUCUUACUUCUUUGAAUACUUUCUAUGUGUAUAUAAUGUACUUUGAUCAUAUUUGAACAUAGUCACCCUCCCCCAACUCCUCCCCCAGAAUUCCUUCACCUCUACCCGCUCCCAACUUCUAUUUCCUUCUCAUUCUAGUCCGAGUCUAGUUUGUGGUACAUAAACUCCUGAGUGUAGGACCACCAGCCCGAGCAAAGUUCACGUAUCCAGGCCAAACUCUUAAGGACAAUUGACUCUCCUUUCUCAAGCAGCCAUCAGCUGUCAGUAAUUCUUCAGCUGCGGACGGGGCCUCACAAACACCUCCUCCCUGCUGUCUUGCUCCACGCUCCAUGCGCUUCCUUGCUCUGCUCCCUGUCUUGACCUUGCACACAGCUUGUGUGGGCAGCCACAGUUUCUGUGAGUUCGUCAGUGCGGUGGUCCUGGGAUGUCCAGAAGACACCGUUCCACAUCAGUACUCCCUGCCUUGGAUCCUAAAAUCUUGGGGUUCUGUCUUCCCUUGUAGGGAAGCUGUUGAUAUGAGUGUCUGUUGAUAGGCAUUGCCCACUAGACUCCGGUGGCAAGACCCUAUUGGUCAUGGGAUACAUGUGACUAAGCACUCCAUAGACACUCAUUCUCUUUGCUUUGACCAGCUGAGAAUUUUUCUAUUAACCGAAGUCGACUGCACAAAGAAAUUUCUCCAAUGAGGUCUGGGAGUUGCAAUAAUAUAUGGGAAGAGAGAUAGAAAUUUAGACAACAGUUUGAAACUAUCUCCAUUUUGCAUAACUAAACUAGUAAGUUCACCCCUGGGCCCUGUGAGCUCCACAGUCAUGGGUUCUUGGCUAAAACAGGCAUGGAUUUCUUCCUGCGGAAACAUUUGGUUACUCUGAUAACACUUAUGCCACGAUUGUACCCGUGUACAUCUCUUGUCUCGUCAGCUCACAGCGUUCACCACUGGGUAAGAGUGCUGAGACUCCUCCCCUGCUCCAGCCUGCAUAUUACCUCCUGGUUCUAUGAGAGCUAGCUAGUAAGGACACUUCCUUGUCAGAACCAAUUUGAUUUCUUUAUUUCCUGUGACCAAACUAUGUGGUGGCUUCCAUAAUAAGGUCUUAUCAUCAAUUCUAGUGGGCAACCAAGAGCAAUGCCAAUUACCUGUAUUUUGGGAGAUCUUUGAAAAACUCCUGGCUAACAUUAUUUUUAGCUAUUAGGUUAAGCAUAAUAUAAUUUAUUUAAAAUAGGUCAAUAGAUAGCUAAUAGAGACUUGUUUGGAAAAGUCCACUUUUUGGGGUGUGUGUGCAUAUUUAUGCAUG
Non-coding RNA from Myodes glareolus (Bank vole), 1987 nucleotides. Lineage: Eukaryota; Metazoa; Chordata; Mammalia; Rodentia; Cricetidae. The record is from RefSeq and is a predicted model, not a curated record.